RNAcentral lists this long non-coding RNA (1357 nucleotides) under Ananas comosus (pineapple). Its description in RNAcentral is "long non-coding RNA (ACOM_LNC008817)". Lineage: Eukaryota; Viridiplantae; Streptophyta; Magnoliopsida; Poales; Bromeliaceae. The record is from RNAcentral.
UCAUUAAAAAUAAAGUAGUUCAUUUAAUUAUAAGCAACUAAAAAGUAUCUAUACUACUUAUAAAAGUGUGAGUUUUAAAUUUUUUUCUUUUUUAAAAAAUAUUUUUAUUUUUUAACUAAUAUUUUCAUGUCCAAUAAUUUUCAACCAUUCAUUUCAAAUAAUUCUUCAAAUAAUAAUUUAUUCUCAAAUAUACAUCUUAAGUUUUUGCCAUUGGAUCUAAUCCAACAAGUAAAAAAGUAUCGGUCAUCUUUGUUGACAAAAGUACCCUCAAUAUCUGUUAUCUCUUAUCUACGUGUUUCUCAAAUAUUUUCUUUCUACCUGCCAAUCACAUAUUAUGUAAAAUUAAAUUUAUCUCCUAACGUAAUACCCGCCAAUAACGUAAUAUGUAAAAUUAAAUUUAUCCCCUAUCUACGUGUUUUCUCAAAUAUUUUUUUUCUAGAAUAUUGCUUUUCUAAAACGUAAUAUUUGCCAAUAUUACAUAGUACUCAAAAUUAAAUUUUAAAUUUUAAAUUAAGUAUAAAUUAAAUUAAAUUUACCUCCUAACUAAAUAACCGCCAAUCACGUAAUACGUAAAAUUAAAUUUAUUUCUUUUCUACGCAUUUUCUCAAAUAUUUUUUUCUCAAAUGUAAUACCUGUAAAUGACGUAGUACUCAAAAUUAUAUAUUAAAUUUUGAAUUAAGUAUAAAUUAAAUCUACUAUAUAUACUAUCUGCAUCUUUUCUAGAAUAUUGCUUUUCUAAAAUGUAAUACGUGCCAAUAUUACAUAGUACUCUAAAUUAAAUAUACCAUUUACACAUUUUUCAAAUAUUUCCUUUCUAACAUACCCGCCAAUAAUUUAAUACCCGCCAAUGUGAUAAUUUAAAUUUUAAUUUAUAAUAGUAGAUUUUCAUACGUGAGAUAGUAAAUUUAAUUGCAGUGGGUAUUAAAUUUUGACGUGCCACAAAAAAUUAGAAUAUUGCUAAAAAAAUUUAAUACCCACCCAAUCAAAAUUAAAUUAUUCAUUAAAUAUAAUUUUAAAUUUUUUAAGUAAAAUAUCAAUAUUUAACUAAUAUUCUUCAAAAUAUUCUACGCAUUUCUCAAAUAUAGAACAUAUCUUAAAGCCCUCGCAUAUAAUAUCUACACUACCCAAUCCUAUCUCAGCAUAAUACUUUCCACACAUAGAGUAUAUCAUUUUCCUCAUUUUCAUCUAUACGUUUCUCAAAUGUAAAAUAAUUUUUUUUUUUCAUUUUCACCUAUAUUUUUUUUUUCAAAUCAUUAUUGUCCUCAUCGUCAUCGCAGGCGCCAGCACAUCGUCGCUUUCGCCACCUUCGCCACAGUUGGAGAGGUUUUUUGAUCCUACCUAAAAAUUUUUCUUUUUU